CCGAACUCAUGCCGACGUCAGGGAAAGGAUUCUGCUGUCGGUCCCACUCCAAAGUUUGCAAAAUGGGUGGUGGGCACAGAAUCCAGACUCUGCUGUGGCAUAUGUCACCUGGUC
Molecule: microRNA precursor, 114 nt
Filed under: Dasypus novemcinctus (nine-banded armadillo)
Lineage: Eukaryota; Metazoa; Chordata; Mammalia; Cingulata; Dasypodidae
Description: microRNA 541 (ENSDNOG00000027100.2)
Rfam family: mir-541 microRNA precursor family (bases 15-97)
Source: RNAcentral